This is a long non-coding RNA of Panicum hallii, 359 nucleotides long. RefSeq lists it as uncharacterized. The transcript has 3 exons. The record is from RefSeq and is a predicted model, not a curated record. NCBI's taxonomy places the organism in Eukaryota, Viridiplantae, Streptophyta, Magnoliopsida, Poales, Poaceae.
CAGAUCUCCAUAUGACGCACUCCAAUCAGUGGCUUAUCAGUUGACCCUUAUUCAGCAGUUGCCGUGUGAUCUGUUGGUUCUCGUUUCUCCUGGCGAUUGAGUGAUAGUCCUCAGUUAUCUACUAUAUACAUUGGUCUCUCCAGGCACUUGUGCUUUAAAUUGCUUUCCCUCACUCGUGAAGGCCUUAAAAGUACUUACUCAUGGGUAAUGAUGAGAUGAACAAACUGCUUGUUCAAGAAGAUUAAUACUGGUUGUUAUGAGACUCUUAUCCUUCUUGAAAGAUGGUUCGAGUUGUGCUUCAGAUUUGCAUAUGCUGGCAUUGCAGAGGUUUAAUUAGCUCUGUGAUUUGUGGUUCCCCG